UGGCUUCCAGGCUUAGCCUCUCCUACUUAUCUUGAUGGCAGGUACAUACAUUCAAGAUCAUAUUUUUUUGUUGCCUUUAUAAUUGGGUUAUCCAGUUGUUUUCUAAAAACUUAAAUAAUUAUGCGUGUAGUCUUGAUUCUUUUUCAUGAGCCAAGUAUGUUGUUUUUUUAAAUAAAAAAAAUAUUCGGUGGCGGUAAGACUUAAUCACAGGACUAGGUCUGCUCGAUAUCAUAUUGAAUUGUGUGACUACCUCAUCCGAAAACUUAAGCUAUUACAAAGAGCAUACUUUUACUAAUGGUUUUUAGCCUUGUUCUAAUACUCGAAUGCUUGCUUGUCUUAGUCUCCCAGGAGACAAUGGUUUUGAUCCAUUGGGACUUGCUGAGGACCCAGAGAACUUGAAAUGGUUCGUCCAGGCUGAACUGGUGAACGGUCGUUGGGCUAUGUUGGGUGUUGCUGGGAUGCUGCUGCCUGAGGUUUUCACUAACAUUGGAAUCCUUAACGUGCCCAAAUGGUAUGAUGCUGGAAAAGAAGAGUACUUUGCAUCUUCAUCCACCCUGUUCGUGAUCGAGUUCAUCUUGUUCCACUACGUCGAGAUCAGAAGGUGGCAAGACAUCAAGAACCCAGGAAGUGUUAACCAAGACCCCAUCUUCAAGAACUACAGCUUGCCUCCUAACGAAGUUGGAUACCCUGGUGGUAUUUUCAACCCACUCAACUUUGCACCAACUGCUGAGGCCAAAGAAAAGGAAAUUGCUAAUGGUAAGUCCAACUACCACAACCCUGUUAUAUUUCAUGUACGAUCACUAAACUUGAUCCACUGUAACAAUAAAAUACCAUAACUAAUUUUUUCACAUGAAGUAACUGAACUUUAUCUACUAUAAUAGUAACAUCACUAACUUUCACAUGGAUAAUAUGCAGGGAGAUUGGCAAUGUUGGCAUUUUUGGGAUUCAUAGUGCAGCACAAUGUAGUAGGAAAGGGACCUUUUGACAACCUUCUGCAACACCUCUCCGACCCAUGGCACAACACCAUUGUCCAAACACUCGGCAACUAGAAAACCUCAUGGAAACUGGAUUGAAUAUAUUGUUACCCUUGUAACCAUGUUAUGGUUUUUGAUCAAGAAUAGAGCUUUGUGGUAAACAAGGAACCUUUAAUGUACAGGGCAUUUUAAAUUGCAAGUCUUAUUCGUGUUAUUUCCACCCUAUCGUCAGUAUAUAAAGUGGAAGAAAAGCCCCCUUUAGCUAAUUCGAGACGCUUAUCUAGACUUGGAUUUGGUAAAGGGAAAGCUUUCUUUUAGUAGUUCAACUUAUGCAUCUCAAUUGCAAAAGAAAUCCCAGAAAUUUAUUGAAGCAAAGUGAAAUUG
This 1358-nucleotide long non-coding RNA is filed under the name Nicotiana tabacum (common tobacco). RNAcentral's name for it is "long non-coding RNA (NTAB_LNC000827)". The record is from RNAcentral. Lineage: Eukaryota; Viridiplantae; Streptophyta; Magnoliopsida; Solanales; Solanaceae.